Molecule: ribosomal RNA, 301 nt
Filed under: uncultured bacterium
Lineage: Bacteria
Description: partial 16S ribosomal RNA
Rfam family: Bacterial small subunit ribosomal RNA
Source: RNAcentral
CAGCAGCCGCGGUAAUACGAAGGGGGCUAGCGUUGCUCGGAAUGACUGGGCGUAAAGGGCGCGUAGGCGGUCUUGACAGUCAGAUGUGAAAUUCCUGGGCUUAACCUGGGGGCUGCAUUUGAGACGUCAAGACUAGAGUGUGAGAGAGGGUUGUGGAAUUCCCAGCGUAGAGGUGAAAUUCGUAGAUAUUGGGAAGAACACCGGUGGCGAAGGCGGCAACCUGGCUCAUUACUGACGCUGAGGCGCGAAAGCGUGGGGAGCAAACAGGAUUAGAUACCCCCGUAGUCCCUGUCUCUUAUAC